GAUCGAGAACGACAGCGAGUUGUCAUGUUCACAAGGAUGACCUAACUUGAGCUUCUGUGGUUUGGGAUCCUGCCUGCCUGUGUUUCACCCUGUUUUGCCUCCAAGGCAGAAGCCUGAGUCUCUAGCCAGGAGAUUGUGCACUGGAGUUUGUCCUUCGUGUGAAAUCCUCCUAGGAGAAACCUCAGCUUCACCCACAGAUCCAAGGCUCCCGGCUGCUCUCUAUUACUCCUACAAUUCACAGUCCUGUUCCAGGACCAGGCGAAUUCAGAAAACCCCACUGCAAGUCAUCAUCUUAGAUUUUGCUACCUAAAUCACUUUCCUUUCUCAAAAAGAAUAAACCUGAGCCCCUUUCCUCCCUUAUGUAGUUCCAUCUUCACAUGGUAUCCUAUUC
Bubalus bubalis (water buffalo) is the source of this 391-nucleotide long non-coding RNA. RefSeq lists it as uncharacterized. The transcript has 2 exons. The record is from RefSeq and is a predicted model, not a curated record. NCBI's taxonomy places the organism in Eukaryota, Metazoa, Chordata, Mammalia, Artiodactyla, Bovidae.